GCUCAGCCUCCGUGCAGGUAAACUAACAUUAGAGACUCAGAGUCUGGUCUGGAGGACACAAGCCACUCCACAGCGGAUUACUGCAAGAUUAAUAAAGUAGACCUGCAGGACCCGAGCAGAGCUACGAUGCUCUCCCAGGUAACGUUAGGUACUUCAAGCUUUACAAUAAGAAGUCAAGGAAGUGAAGGACUACAGCCACAUCCCAGCCCUUCAAAGAGGCUGUCGUCCAGACUGGAGCGGUGGGCCAUCAGUGAGCUCAGGAGACCAGAUGAUCCCAGGCGUCCAGGAGUUGUGUGUGAUAUUCCUGCACCACCCUCAGAAGUGUUGCUGCAGACACAAGUCAGCAGAGAAAUACAGCUUGCCUUAGGUGAAACUGAAUAUG
This is a long non-coding RNA of Sander lucioperca (pikeperch), 382 nucleotides long. RefSeq lists it as uncharacterized. NCBI's taxonomy places the organism in Eukaryota, Metazoa, Chordata, Actinopteri, Perciformes, Percidae. The transcript has 3 exons. The record is from RefSeq and is a predicted model, not a curated record.